Molecule: long non-coding RNA, 93 nt
Organism: Maniola jurtina (meadow brown)
Lineage: Eukaryota; Metazoa; Arthropoda; Insecta; Lepidoptera; Nymphalidae
Exons: 3
Source: RefSeq, a predicted model, not a curated record
UCGGUCUGGUCCUCCACGCGGACCCUUUCGGGUCCCGGGGUAACUGAUCAGGGCGAUGGCCCUCUUCAGUGGUGGUGACAUAAAAUAUAAAAU